AAAUCCUCAGUAAGAAGUUUCGUCAAAAACAUUGAGAGAACAGGUAUUGCCAUCAAAUUGAACAAGCGGAAUGGUGACAGUUCAAAUUUGAUCUUCGGAAGGGACACAAAAGCCCAUGAAACAGCUCCCACCCAAGGCUCGGAUGGUAUCAACCGCACUUUGACCCACAGUUCACCAUCCCAUCAAUGUCAAAAUCUCGAACACCAACUGGGACAACAAUGGGGAUAAUUCCAAAUUUUAGUGAAAGCAUUAGCAGCAUGCGAGCACCACCAGUAUACCGGAGGCCUAUUUGAUACUGCAAAUCGUUGACACGGCGUGAUGUUCUGCGCUCAACGUUCCUGACAGACAAUGGCUCCUCUCCCCAAGAGAAAUGCCUAAUUUUAACUCUCUCCACAUAAUCAGGCUUCUUCAGAUCAUCAAUGACAGGCUGCAACAACCCAAAAAUCCAAUUCUCAAUCCCGGGUCUAUACACCUUCCACAAUUUGCCUAACACCAUAUUCACCCACUCCACCGACUCCUUCCUCUGCAAAUCCUUCUCCAAGAAUAA
RNAcentral lists this unclassified non-coding RNA (547 nucleotides) under Hevea brasiliensis (rubber tree). The record is from RNAcentral. Lineage: Eukaryota; Viridiplantae; Streptophyta; Magnoliopsida; Malpighiales; Euphorbiaceae.